AUUAGUCAAAUGAUGCCAGUGCGCACAGUUAGCUUUACUUUUUCUUUCUUUCUUUCUUUCUAAUUAAUUAAUUUGAGCAGUUUCACUUAUAUGCAUGUACAAUAAGGUAUUGUACAUCAAUUUAGUUUGAGAUAAACAAAAUCGAACUGAGUAGUAAUGAGAUAAAAAUUACAACAAAAAAUACACCCUCCCCAAAGAAGCCCUAAAUAAUAUAUAAAAACAUCAUCAUAUGAAGAAAACAAGUUAAAUGUUAAGGAGAAGUUUACCUAGCUUUGGCAGUUUUAUUCACAACUUCAUUUAUAGACCCUAUAUAAACUGUCAAUCUGGUUGUCUUUACAAAGUUGCACAACCUGCUGUAAAUAGUUUCACUGCUCCUUUUGCCCUGUGAAAUUGUUCAAGCCAAGCAAUCAGAUGGAGGCAAUCAUAGAGAGGACUUUUGCUGUCCUACAGUGUGACAGGGCUUAUUAAAUAUGUCAUUUGUGUUGGAGGUCAUGACUCCAGAGAUGAGAAUGCACGCAGGCCAGCACUAUGAUCAUUGAGAGCUUUCAAGUGCUAUCUUGGAAUACAGAUUAAUAUAAUUAUCUGAACACACACUCCACCUUGCUCCCUUUGACACACACACAGAGAGAGAGAGAGAGAGAGAGAGAGAGACAGAGAGAGGGAGAGAAUGAACACCACAAAUAGGCAUCAAAUGUGCCAUACUCAUUCCUCCACACUCCCACUGCAGACUCCCGCUAAAGACCUAACAUAGCACGAUAGUUAAAAGACAGAUUUCCUUUUUGAAACUGAUUCAAACCCACGCCUGCCUUCAAAGUGUUCUGUUUAUGUAAAAUAAAAUAUUGAAUUUUGCAACCUGAAAUUGACUAAUUGAAUAUGAGCUGAAAUAACAACCUGAAGUUUUUCAAUAUUUGAAAACUGAAUCAUUAAAUCUGAAUUUGUGAACAAUGAAAAAAAAAAAAUUUGAAUAUACUUGAUUUUUUGAAAACCUGAAUUUUAAAAUGUG
Long non-coding RNA from Pangasianodon hypophthalmus (striped catfish), 1003 nucleotides. RefSeq lists it as uncharacterized. The record is from RefSeq and is a predicted model, not a curated record. NCBI's taxonomy places the organism in Eukaryota, Metazoa, Chordata, Actinopteri, Siluriformes, Pangasiidae. The transcript is spliced from 6 exons.